Molecule: ribosomal RNA, 436 nt
Filed under: uncultured Oscillibacter sp.
Lineage: Bacteria; Bacillati; Bacillota; Clostridia; Eubacteriales; Oscillospiraceae
Description: bacterial SSU rRNA
Rfam family: Bacterial small subunit ribosomal RNA
Source: RNAcentral
ACGGAAGGCAGCAGUGGGGCAUCUUGGGCAAUGGGCGCAAGCCUGACCCAGCAACGCCGCGUGAAGGAAGAAGGCUUUCGGGUUGUAAACUUCUUUUGUCAGGGAAGAGAAGAAGACUGUCCCAGGCGAAUACGCCACGGCUAACUACGUGCCAGCAGCCGCGGUAAUACGUAGGUGGCAAGCGUUGUCCGGAUUUACUGGGGGUAAAGGGCGUGUAGCCGGGUCGGUAAGUCAGAUGUGAAAUCUACGGGCUCAACUCGUAAACGGCAGUUGAAACUGCUGAUCUUGAGUAUCGGAGAGGCAAGCGGAAUUCCUAGUGUAGCGGUGAAAUGCGUAGAUAUUAGGAGGAACACCAGUGGCGAAGGCGGAUUGCUGGACGACAACUGACGGUGAGGCGCGAAAGCGUGGGGAGCAAACAGGAUUAGAUACCCUGGUA